RNAcentral lists this long non-coding RNA (295 nucleotides) under Elaeis guineensis (African oil palm). RNAcentral describes it as "long non-coding RNA (EGUI_LNC018683)". Lineage: Eukaryota; Viridiplantae; Streptophyta; Magnoliopsida; Arecales; Arecaceae. The record is from RNAcentral.
CACCGGCACCACAGCCGACGAAUCAAACCCAGAUCCCUCCGCCCCAGUGACUGGAGGCAGAUUAUACUCAAGAGCCAAGGAGAUGGUGGUCUCUGAGUCCUUGGUCGGGGCAUGAUUCAACCUCUAGCCGACGAUCUCCUCCGCGCUCUGAAGCGCAUACCAACCUCGAUGUGGAAGUCGAGCGAAAACUUCAAGAAAUGGAUCGAAAGAUCCAGCAGAUUUGCAACAACCCAUCAGCACCAUCUAAUGGAUUCGAUUCGAAACUGCCUUUUGAGGCGAGCAUCCUAUAGAAAUC